This 1502-nucleotide long non-coding RNA is filed under the name Calidris pugnax (ruff). RNAcentral's name for it is "lncRNA (ENSCPUG00000005774.1)". The record is from RNAcentral. Lineage: Eukaryota; Metazoa; Chordata; Aves; Charadriiformes; Scolopacidae.
AAAAAAAAUAAACACCCAGCGAAGGAUUUGGGGAAAAUUUGCAGGAUUUUUUGCAGAAAAAAAAAAAAAAAAGCAAGGAUUUGAGGCAAAUUUGGAGGAUUGUAGGCCAAAUUGAGCAGAUUUAAGGCCAAAUUUCUGGAAUUUCGGAGAAUUGGCAGGAUUUUGAAGGAAAUUUGUGGGGUUUCAGUCCCAAUUUGCAGGAUUUCAGUCUUGAUUUGCAGGAUUCGGGGAAAGCUUGCCGGAUUUCAGGGGGGAAAUGGCAGGAUUUGAGGCAAAUUUGGAGGAUUGUAGGCCAAAUUGAGCAGAUUUAAGGCCAAAUUUCUGGAAUUUCGGAGAAUUGGCAGGAUUUUGAAGGAAAUUUGUGGGGUUUCAGUCCCAAUUUGCAGGAUUUCAGUCUUGAUUUGCAGGAUUCGGGGAAAGCUUGCCGGAUUUCAGGGGGGAAAUGGCAGGAUUUGAGGCAAAUUUGGAGGAUUGUAGGCCAAAUUGAGCAGAUUUAAGGCCAAAUUUCUGGAAUUUCGGAGAAUUGGCAGGAUUUUGAAGGAAAUUUGUGGGGUUUCAGUCUUGAUUUGCAGGAUUCGGGGAAAGCUUGCCGGAUUUCAGGGGGGAAAUGGCAGGAUUUGAGGCAAAUUUGGAGGAUUGUAGGCCAAAUUGAGCAGAUUUAAGGCCAAAUUUCUGGAAUUUUGGAGAAUUGGCAGGAUUUUAAAGGAAAUUUGUGGGGUUUCAGUCUUGAUUUGUAGGAUUCGGGGAAAGUUUGCAGGAUUUUGGGGGGGUAAUGGCCUGGGAUUUUGGAGAAUUGGCAGGAUUUUGAAGCAAAUUUGUGGGAUUUCAGUCCCAAUUUGCAGGAUUUCAGUCUUGAUUUGCAGGAUUCGGGGAAAGUUUGCAGGAUUUGGGGGAGGGGAAAUGGCAGGAUUUGAGGCAAAUUUAGAGGAUUUUAGGCCAAAUUUAGAGGAUUUUAAGCCAAACUUCUGGGAUUUCAGAGCAAAUUUGCGGAAUUUCAGUCCCAAUUUGUGGAAUUUCAGUCCAAACUUGCAAGAUUUUGGGCAACGCUUCAGGACGUCAGGUCAGGCCUGAUUUGCGAGAUUUUUUUAGGCCCAAUGUGGAAGGUUUUAGGCCAAAUUUCUGGGAUUUCAGCAAGAAUUUGUGGGGUUUCAGGCCAGAUUCAUGGAAUUCCAGGCUGGAUUUGCAGGAUUUUAGGUCCCAUUUGUAAGGAUUUGGGGCAAAUGGGCAGGAUUUCAGACCGAAUUUGUGAGAUUUGACCCCCCACCUGUGACAUUUUGAUCUCAAUUUUUAGUAUUUUGGGCCGGAAUGACAGAAUUUGGGGCCUGAUUUGCAAGAUUUGGGCAAAUUGGUGUGGUUUUAGGCCAGAUUCACAGGAUUUCAGGCCUGGCUUUGCAGGAUUUUCAGUCCCAUUUGCAAGGAUUUGGGGCAAAAAAAUCAGGCCUAAUUUGUGAGGGUUUUUUUGGAGUUCCAGCCCUCCCCCACCCCCAGCUCUUCAUGUUUUU